This is a long non-coding RNA of Oncorhynchus tshawytscha (Chinook salmon), 5473 nucleotides long. The record is from Ensembl. NCBI's taxonomy places the organism in Eukaryota, Metazoa, Chordata, Actinopteri, Salmoniformes, Salmonidae.
ACGAUAGCUAGCUAGAAUCGAUAGCUAGCUAGCUAGAACGCUUCAAAAAUUUAUAUAUUAAUGUUUUGCUUUGGUUUAAAGUCCCAAUCCCGCGUAGACUUCAAGUAUUGUUUCGAUAAUUUGCAGUGAAAUGUUGGUGACGUUAACUAGUUGAAUGAAUAUGUUAAUUUACAGAGAUAGCUUGUAGGAAAUGAUUAGCUAGCUAGAGAGCCUGUUUUGUUGCUAGCUAUAAUAAUGGGGACAACAAUAGGAAAAGGGGAUACCUAGUCAGUUGCAAGACUGAAUGUAUUCACCAGUCUAACGCAUAAUAUGAUAGUAAUGUUACUAGCUUAGCUAGCUAUGUUGACAUUGGUUUUUGGGUUGCCAAGAUAUCUGUAGUUUUAGGGUGAAGAGCUAAUAUGAUUGUUCUUAGUAAAAUUCAUAUUACUCAGUGUGUAUCUCUAGUUGACGCUCCAAGUGAGAGAGGCUUAGAGAUGUGGUCAUAUCAAUUAUCAGAGAGGAAGAACUUAAGCAAUAACUUGUACUAGAGAAUCUUUGGCAAUACCCAGGUUUGGUGGCUUUUGAAUAGACUAGCUACAUAUCAUCUCAUAGAGCCCGAAACCUGAAGUUGGUGUCUAAAGUCACAGAGACAGCCAGGUAGAGCUGUGCCAAGAUGGAUGUCCAGUUGUCCAUCAGCUUCCUGAGGGACAGACUGGGCGGGGCCAUUGAGGAGGCAGUGCGUACAGCAGUGGAGUCUGUGCUGUGUGAGACUGUGCGUCUGUUAACCGGGCUCCAAGGGGACCAGCAGCAGGGACUCUCCUCAUUGACCCAGAGGGACCAGGACACCCUGGGACUGAAGCAGAGGUUAGAGGCCCCCAGCGGGGGUGACUGGAGGGUGCAGGCUGGGUCUUCAGAGGCAUUCUGUAACACAGGACCGAGGGGGGGUGGUGGGCGUAGCAACAUUAAGAAUCCAAUGGGUCAGACCACUUGCUCAACCUCCCAAGCAUCACAAAGGACCACCAUGGAGCCCCAUCCCCAGGAGGUGGUGGAGGACUGUGCUGGACUGCCUGACCCAUUUGACCUUGUGUCGGCUGGGCCAGUGAUGGUGGACUUUGAGGAGGGUCAGGGCAUGGGGAUCCCAGAGGAGUGGGAGCUGAUGAACAGAGUGUACAAGACUGAGCACAAUGAAGACAUGGCCCUUAUUGACGGGGGCGGUGCCACUCACUUUGCAGAUGACCACAGGCUGCAUGAAGGAGACCUGAGGACUGUGGCUGUGUCCCUGGAGGGAGAGAUGGCUGCCAAGCCCCAGGAUGCAUUGCACCCCUGCUUCAGCCCAGCCAACAUCAAAACAGAGCGGCCUGAUAUGGAGAGAUGCUGCAUGGCUGAGGAGGCCCUUGCUCUGCCUCUGCCUCAUCCUGCCAAUAGUGGUGUGGAGGCCGGUGAGUUUGGGCAGGAGCAGGUGGAGGCUGGCCCACGGGACUUUGUAGGUCGCCUGCGCCUGUGGCUGGAGCAGCUGUGUCCUGAGGUGGUGCGGGAGUACGAGAGGGAGGGCUGUCUGUGUGAGCUGUCCCGCAGAAAGCUCAUAAAGUUCUCCGUGUCCUUCAUCGUGGAGGAGUUUGGAUUCUACCCUACCUCUGCUCAGAAGACCAUGCUGGCAGAGCACAUAGUGGAACUCUUCCCAGGACUCAGACUCUGUGCACCCUCUGCUGGCAUCAAUGGCAUCGAACACUUGUACGACCCUUUGUCCCGUACGGGUUACAUUGAGACGCGCCUGCGCAACUCUCGACGCACCCUUGAAGACCACAAGAAGAAGUAUGUGCUGAAGAGGCGUCGGCCAGAGCCAGGUCUGUUGGACCCCGCUGGACCUCGAUCGGGACCUGGGCUCCUGGAGAGCCAGUCCAGUGAGGAGACGCAGAGGUGGGUGGAGCUGAUGAAGAAAACCAGGCCCCUGACCAGGAAUCUGCCUGCCAUCCACGGUGCUAUGGACCUCACAUUCAACGCACGCAGGAGGUGGAUCAGCAACACACGGCCUAGUAUGAGGGCUGUGUUGGACGAGUACCCACGUUUUCUUGACAUACCCGCCACGAUUGACCUGGAGUUUGAGAGGAUGUUCCCAGGUAAAGGCCACUCUUUCCUGGCCCAGUGGUCGUCUUUCGUGUUGCCCAGGUUGUACCAGAUCGCAGAGUGCGAAAAACACCCAGACAUCUCAGCACUUCUCCAACUGGCUGCCACACAGCAAGGAGACUCCUACACCCUGACUAUGCUGAAGGUCCUGAUCUAUGUACUACCACCAACAAACACCAGUAGAGCCUCCUUACCCUCCAGGAGCAGUGUCAGGCAGGCCAUUCGGUAUCUGGUGGACAUUGUACCGAUGGACACCGAGGUGUCCUCCUUAUUCUGUGACCCUACCUCCUUGGAGGGCCCAGAGUCUGCCUCCCAUACUCAGCCCUACAUAGUGAGCGUGGGGCCCCUGGAGGCCCCUGGCCGGCAGCUUUGCAUCGUGUUCCCCGUUGAUAGGAUGGCAAUCCCCCUGCCUCAGGAGGGCCUGAGCAAUGCACUGGACAAGCUUUUCAAGCUUCUGCGUGUGUUUGAACAGGGGUACCCAGAUCAGCUAGCCUCCCUGUAUAGCUUCCUUGAGCACCUCUAUGGGCUGGAGAUGACCCCACGAGAUAACCAUGACUCCCCCAGUGGCAAGGGAUCAAAAGUGCUUGAACUUUUAGCACGGCUCCACAUGCCCUCCUGACAGAAGGCGUAGGUCUACACAUGAAUUGAACUCGCCCCACAGACUUACCUUUUCCUUUGUAUUUUUUUGGAUUGCAAUUUUAUCAUAGCCAUCCUUUACAGAACACGUCCUUUACUUUGUUCUGAAUUUUCCCCCAAAUAAAAAGUAUGUCAGAAUGAACUAAACAAUGCUGAUGGAACACUGGUGUGUUAUACAGUACCAGUCAAAAGUUCAGACACCUACAUAUUCAAGGGUUUUUCUUUAUUUUUACUAUUUUCUACAUUGUAGAAACUAUGAAAUAAAAUAUGGAAUCGUGUAGUAACCAAAAAAGUGUCAAACAAAUCAAAAUAUGAGAUUCUUCAAAGUAGCCACCCUUUGCCUUGACAGCUUUGCACACACUUGGCAUUCUCUCAACCAGCUUCAUGAGGUUGUCACCUGGAAUGCAUUUCAAUUAACUUGUGUGCCCUGUUAAUUUAAGGAAUUUAUUUCCUUAAUGCAUUUGAGCCAAUCAAUUGUGUUGUGACAAGGUAGGGGUGGUAUAGAGAAGGUAGCCCUAUUUUGUAAAAGACCAAGUUCAUAUUAUGGCAAGAAUUGCUCAAAUAAGCAAAGAGAAACAACAGUCCAUCAUUACUUUAAGACAUGAAGGUCAGUCAAUCUGGAAAGUUUCAAAAACUGAAAGCUUCUUCUAGUGCAGUCGCAAAAACCAAGUUCUAUGAUGAAACUGGCUCUCAUGAGGACCACAACAGGAAAGGAAGACUCAGUUACACUACCGUUCAAAAGUUUGAGGGUCACUUAGAAAUGUCCUUGUUUUUGAAAGAAAAACACUUUUUGUCCAUUUUUAAAAUAACAUCAAAUUGAUCAGAAAUACAGUGUAGACAUUGUUAAUGUUGUAAAUGACUUUUGUAGCUGGAAACGGCUGAUUUGUAAUGGAAUAUCUACAUAGGCAUACAGAGGCCCAUUAUCAGCAACCAUCACUCCUGUGUUCCAAUGGCACGUUGUGUUAGCUAAUCCAAGUUUAUCAUUUUAAAAGACUAAUUGGUCAUUAGAAAACUGUUCUGAUUAAAGAAGCAAUAAAACUGGCCUCCUUUAGACUAGUUGAGUGUCUGGAGCAUCAGCACUUGCGGGUUCGAUUACAGGCUUAAAAUGGCCAGAAACAAAGAACUUUCUUCUGAAACCCGUCAGUCUAUUCUUGUUCUGAGAAAUGAAGGCUAUUCCAUGUGAGAAAUUGCCAAGAAACUGAAGAUCUCGUACAAUGCUGUGUACUACUCCCUUCACAGAACAACACAAACUGGCUCUAACUAGAAUAUGAGAGGGAGGCCACGGUGCACAACUGAGCAAGAGGACAAGUACAUUAGUGUCUAGUUUGAGAAACAGACGCCUCACAAGUCCUCAACUGGCAGCUUCAUUAAAUAGUACGCGAAAAACACCAGUCAACGUCAACAGUGAAGAGGCGACUCCAGGAUGCUGACCUUCUAGGCAGAGUUGCAAAGAAAAAGCCAUAUCUCAGACUGGCCGAUAAUAAGAAAAGAUGGGCAAAAAAAACACAUACUGGACAAAAGUGUUAUGGACAGACGAAUCUAAGUUUGAGGUGUUCAGAUCACAAAGAAGAACAUGAGAUGCAGAAAAGAUGCUGGAGGAGUGCUUGACGCCAUCUGUCAAGCAUGGUGGAGGCAAUGUGAUUGUCUGGGGUGGUUGUGAAGUGGGAGAUUUCUAAAGGGUAAAAGGGAUCUUGAAGAGGGAAGGCGAUCACUCCAUCUGGAACACCAUGCCAUACCCUGUGGACGGCACUUAAUUGGAGCAAAUGUCUUCCUAUGACAGGACAAUGACCCAAAACACAGCUCCAAACUAUGCAAUAACUAUUUAGGGAAGCAGUCAGCUGGUAUUCUGUCUAUAAUGGAGUAGCCAGCACAAUCACCGGAUCUCAACCCUAUUGAGCUGUUGUGGGAGCAGCUUGACCGUACGUACCAUACCGUAAGAGGUGCCCAUCAAGCCAAUCCAACUUGUGGGAGGUGCUUCAGGGAGCAUGGGGUGAAAUCUCUUCAGAUUACCUCAACAAAUUGACAACUAGAAUGCCAAAGUUCUGCAAGACUGUAAUUGCUGCAAAUGGAGGAUUCUUUGAAGGAAAAUAGUAAAAAGAAAGUCAAAUCCUUGAGUGAGUAGGUGUGUCUUAACUUUUGACUGGUACUGUAUAUUCACUGCAUUUCUCAUUGACAAUGAAAAUACUUGCAUAAAACUAACAUCUUGUAUGAAUUUGUGUGGGGAAACGAUACCGUAUUUUGUACUUUGGGAUACCUUUUCAGUUUUUGCACAAUUGCUUUAGUAUUUAACUUGCUCAUGAUACUGUUGUUUUUUAAAAUAAAAAAAUAUGAAUGUUUUCACUGUCCACUAUUUUAAUGUUAAAUAUGGGUGAGGCAUGUAAUGGCAUACUUUUCUGUCUUGUCAACACAUUUAUGUAAUGCAUGACCAAGUGAUAUGUUCUUUAGAGUCUAUGUUCAAUCGGUGGCAGCAGUCGGAUAAAAUGGCCCGGUUUGAACUUGCCUAUGGGCCAUCACUUCACCAGGCGAAGCCAGUGAGGGAGGAGGAGCGGCAAGCUCAAAUCGAACAAGAAUCUGCGCCACUCCCUUACGUGGUCAAAAAUGUUUGAAUUUUCAAAUUAGUUUUCAAAGCAAUCACUUUUGCAAGUGAAAACAGAAUCCUACUCAUUACUCCACAUGCUAACUUAAGUCACUUUUGUUUUGAGCCGAUUUAUACUAUACAAAAAUAAAACGCAAC